CAGGGGUCUUGAACAGCGGCCUGGCGGCGCUUGGGCUGCCGCAGGUUGGAAUCUAUGGGUUUCACGGUGUGGUUCUGGCCCAUGUGUUCCUGA
Molecule: transfer RNA, 93 nt
Filed under: Gemmobacter megaterium
Lineage: Bacteria; Pseudomonadati; Pseudomonadota; Alphaproteobacteria; Rhodobacterales; Paracoccaceae
Description: tRNA-Pro
Source: RNAcentral